ACGCUGGCGGCGUGCCUAAUACAUGCAAGUCGAACGGUCUUUCUAUGGAAGCUUGCUUCCACUGAGAAGAUAGUGGCGAACGGGUGAGUAACACGUGGGUAACCUGCCCAUAAGAGGGGGAUAACAUCCGGAAACGGGUGCUAAUACCGCAUAGUUUUCUUGAUCGCAUGAUUGAGAAAGGAAAGACGGCCUUUGUGCUGUCGCUUAUGGAUGGACCCGCGGCGUAUUAGUUAGUUGGUGAGGUAACGGCUCACCAAGACGAUGAUACGUAGCCGACCUGAGAGGGUGAUCGGCCACAUUGGGACUGAGACACGGCCCAAACUCCUACGGGAGGCAGCAGUAGGGAAUCUUCCGCAAUGGACGAAAGUCUGACGGAGCAACGCCGCGUGAGUGAAGAAGGUUUUCGGGAAUCGUAAAACUCUGUUGUCAGAGAAGAACAAGUUGGAGAGUAACUGCUCCAGCCUUGACGGUAUCUGACCAGAAAGCCACGGCUAACUACGUGCCAGCAGCAGC
This 513-nucleotide ribosomal RNA is filed under the name uncultured bacterium. RNAcentral describes it as "bacterial SSU rRNA". It matches the Rfam family "Bacterial small subunit ribosomal RNA", at positions 33 to 518 of the family's 1533-position model. The record is from RNAcentral.